This 89-nucleotide transfer RNA is filed under the name Belgica antarctica. RNAcentral describes it as "tRNA-Arg for anticodon UCU". It matches the Rfam family "tRNA". Rfam says of the family: Transfer RNA (tRNA) molecules are approximately 80 nucleotides in length. Their secondary structure includes four short double-helical elements and three loops (D, anti-codon, and T loops). Further hydrogen bonds mediate the characteristic L-shaped molecular structure. tRNAs have two regions of fundamental functional importance: the anti-codon, which is responsible for specific mRNA codon recognition, and the 3' end, to which the tRNAs corresponding amino acid is attached (by aminoacyl-tRNA synthetases). tRNAs cope with the degeneracy of the genetic code in two manners: having more than one tRNA (with a specific anti-codon) for a particular amino acid; and 'wobble' base-pairing, i.e. permitting non-standard base-pairing at the 3rd anti-codon position. The record is from RNAcentral. Lineage: Eukaryota; Metazoa; Arthropoda; Insecta; Diptera; Chironomidae.
GUCCCCUUAGCGCAGUGGAUAGCGCGUUGGACUUCUAAUUCAAACUGGAAGCAAUCCAAAGGUCGCGAGUUCGAUCCUCGCAGGGGAUG